GACAGAGGGGGCAAGCGUUGCUCGGAAUUACUGGGCGUAAAGGGCGCGUAGGCGGGAUGGCAAGUCGGUCGUGAAAUCCCUCGGCUCAACCGAGGAACGUCGAUCGAUACUGCUGUUCUUGAGGAUUGCAGAGGAGACUGGAAUUCCCGGUGUAGCGGUGAAAUGUGUAGAGAUCGGGAGGAACACCGUUGGCGAAGGCGGGUCUCUGGGCAAUUCCUGACGCUGAGGCGCGAAAGCGUGGGGAGCAAACGGG
RNAcentral lists this ribosomal RNA (253 nucleotides) under uncultured bacterium. RNAcentral's name for it is "partial 16S ribosomal RNA". It matches the Rfam family "Bacterial small subunit ribosomal RNA", at positions 524 to 776 of the family's 1533-position model. The record is from RNAcentral.